ACCAAGUCUGCGUUAGGGAUAGCAGCGAAAAGCCCGGAGCCUGACGAAGGAAGUGAGGACUUGUAGCGGAUAGCCCGGCCCGGA
This 84-nucleotide small RNA is filed under the name Flavobacterium cutihirudinis. Its description in RNAcentral is "Flavo-1 RNA". The record is from RNAcentral. Lineage: Bacteria; Pseudomonadati; Bacteroidota; Flavobacteriia; Flavobacteriales; Flavobacteriaceae.